RNAcentral lists this ribosomal RNA (253 nucleotides) under uncultured bacterium. RNAcentral describes it as "partial 16S ribosomal RNA". It matches the Rfam family "Bacterial small subunit ribosomal RNA", at positions 524 to 776 of the family's 1533-position model. The record is from RNAcentral.
UACAUGGGGUGCAAACGUUGCUCGGAAUCAUUGGGCGUAAAGCGCGCGUAGGCGGUUACUUAUGUCGGAUGGGAAAGCCCUCGGCUUAACUGAGGAAGUGCAUUCGAAACUGGGUAGCUAGAGUACUAAAGAGGGUCGCGGAAUUCCCGGUGUAGAGGUGAAAUUCGUAGAUAUCGGGAGGAACACCGGUGGCGAAGGCGGCGACCUGGGUAGAUACUGACGCUGAGGCGCGAAAGCGUGGGGAGCAAACAGG